GACGAACGCUGGCGGCGUGCUUAACACAUGCAAGUCGAACGGAAAGGCCCUGCUUUUGUGGGGUGCUCGAGUGGCGAACGGGUGAGUAACACGUGAGUAACCUGCCCUUGACUUUGGGAUAACUUCAGGAAACUGGGGCUAAUACCGGAUAGGAGCUCCUGCUGCAUGGUGGGGGUUGGAAAGUUUCGGCGGUUGGGGAUGGACUCGCGGCUUAUCAGCUUGUUGGUGGGGUAGUGGCUUACCAAGGCUUUGACGGGUAGCCGGCCUGAGAGGGUGACCGGCCACAUUGGGACUGAGAUACGGCCCAGACUCCUACGGGGGGCAGCAGUGGGGAAUAUUGCACAAUGGGCGGAAGCCUGACGCAGCAACGCCGCGUGCGGGAUGACGGCCUUCGGGUUGUAAACCGCUUUCGCCUGUGACGAAGCGUGAGUGACGGUAAUGGGUAAAGAAGCACCGGCUAACUACGUG
This 468-nucleotide ribosomal RNA is filed under the name uncultured bacterium. RNAcentral's name for it is "partial 16S ribosomal RNA". It matches the Rfam family "Bacterial small subunit ribosomal RNA", at positions 28 to 507 of the family's 1533-position model. The record is from RNAcentral.